Molecule: long non-coding RNA, 227 nt
Organism: Haliotis rubra (blacklip abalone)
Lineage: Eukaryota; Metazoa; Mollusca; Gastropoda; Lepetellida; Haliotidae
Exons: 2
Source: RefSeq, a predicted model, not a curated record
UCUGCAUAAUCCCCCAAUGUAGACUGUCACCAAAUUUGAAGAUUCUGGGUACAAAAGUCCACGAGAUAUCACGUUAACAAGAGUUUGAAAAGUGGCCAAAGUGUCGUGCUGACCUUCAAAAUAAGGUCAAGGUCACCCAAAUCACUUGGUGUCUGUGUUAUCCCAAAAUGUAGGCUGUCACCAAAUUUGAAGACAUUGGCACAACAGUUCAUGAGAUAUCACGUUAA